RNAcentral lists this ribosomal RNA (253 nucleotides) under uncultured bacterium. RNAcentral describes it as "partial 16S ribosomal RNA". It matches the Rfam family "Bacterial small subunit ribosomal RNA", at positions 524 to 776 of the family's 1533-position model. The record is from RNAcentral.
UACGUAGGGUGCAAGCGUUGUCCGGAAUUAUUGGGCGUAAAGAGCUCGUAGGCGGUUUGUUGCGUCGGCUGUGAAAUCCCGAGGCUCAACCUCGGGUCUGCAGUCGAUACGAGCAAACUAGAGGGUUUGAGGGGGGACUGGAAUACUUGGUGUAGCAGUGAAAUGCGUAGAUAUCAAGUGGAACACCAGUGGCGAAGGCGAGUCCCUGGAAAAUACCUGACACUGAGGCACGAAAGCUAGGGGAGCAAACAGG